AUGGCUUGUGUCCACGUUCAACCAAAACGGAGAAGUGCGUGAAUGAGUGGAUAUUAAGACCGACCAAGACGCUCGUAGGAUGAUGCAGUACAUGUUCAAAAUUGUUUUGAUGGUUGUAAUCACAUAGUUUUUGUAUUCUAGUUGUUUUAAUUGUUUGUGUUAUUUUUUAUGAACAACUGUGUUUUCGUCACAGACGUCUACUAUGAAGUAAAAUUAAU
This 218-nucleotide long non-coding RNA is filed under the name Lathyrus oleraceus (garden pea). RNAcentral's name for it is "Pisum sativum (pea) long non-coding RNA (PSAT_LNC002185)". The record is from RNAcentral. Lineage: Eukaryota; Viridiplantae; Streptophyta; Magnoliopsida; Fabales; Fabaceae.